Molecule: long non-coding RNA, 1112 nt
Filed under: Homo sapiens (human)
Lineage: Eukaryota; Metazoa; Chordata; Mammalia; Primates; Hominidae
Description: SVIL antisense RNA 1
Source: RNAcentral
GCUGAAUAGCUGAGAGGCGCACCCGGGCGGCCAGCUGGGCUCGGAGUGCAGCGGGGUUAGGAUGGACGAGGACGUGUUGCACCCUGAAGAGCCUCAUCAUCGGUGAGAGUGGGGUGGGCAAGUCCAGCCUGCUCUUGAGGUUCACAGAUGAUACCUUUGAUCCAGAACUUGCAGCAACAAUAGGACAAGCAUCUGUGGCCCACGCGGUCUGCCUGCAUGCACAUCUGGUCUGCCGUCUGCAUGUUUUAUCUGCUGCGAGGCUCCGUGCCCCUGGCUCCUGCAACACCUUGCCCUGGCUCUAGAAUACUAACGCCGCCGUGAUGGAGUUAGAAGGAGAAGGAGGCCACACUGGGGGAAAAGCCUCAUGGAUGUGCCCUCUGCAGGCGAAGGAAGCCCUUCUCAGUGGAGGAAAGACGGAGACCCAAAUAACUCACUUGGGUGCAUAAGGAUCGAAAAUGACAUCGAAGUCCUCAUCCAUCUCCACAGGACUUCUUGGCAUAUUAUAAUCCACGCUGCGGUAAAAUUUGGCAAAGGUUUCAUCAUCAUCUGGCUUCAUCACCUCCUUCACAGAUUUGCCGGUGACAGUGAGCACCGUUUCGUGCAUCCCGCCAACUAUCAACAAACAAGCAAAAGACAUAAGAGUUUUAUAAAAACAAGGACUCCAAUUAUGCUUCACAAUAGUUUAAAAAUUCUAUUGCCUCCUAAGUUCCAGGAGUGGAAGAAACACGGUUGUGAUAUACAGGGUCCUGUGGUUGCUUCCCAGGCCCUUACUUAAUCUCUGACGUAAGGACUUCCCACCUGAACAAAUCUGCAGUAAAAUGGGAGAGAGGGAGGCUGACCAUACUGCACACACGCGCCCACUGAACGCUUCUGAACCUGCCCUUGCUUCUGUUGAGGGUAGGUGAACCAGCCUCAGCCUCAUUCUACGUGAAGGGUUGGCAAACUUUUUCCAAAAAGGGCCAGCCAGUAAACAUUUUAGGCUUUGCAUGGGGAGGGGUGACAUGGGGCCUGUGUUGCGACAACUCAGUUCUGCUGUCUUAAUGCAAAAGCUAUUGACAAUAGUUCACAAAUGGGCAUGGAUAUGUUUCAAUAAAACUUUAUUUACAAAAACA